Molecule: ribosomal RNA, 254 nt
Filed under: uncultured bacterium
Lineage: Bacteria
Description: partial 16S ribosomal RNA
Rfam family: Bacterial small subunit ribosomal RNA
Source: RNAcentral
UACGGGGGGAGCAAGCGUUGUUCGGAUUUACUGGGCGUAAAGGGCGCGUAGGCGGUCAGCACAAGUCAGUUGUGAAAUCUCCGGGCUUAACUCGGAAAGGUCAACUGAUACUGUGCGACUAGAGUGCGGAAGGGGCAACUGGAAUUCUCGGUGUAGCGGUGAAAUGCGUAGAUAUCAAGAGGAACACCUGAGGUGAAGACGGGUUGCUGGGCCAACACUGACGCUGAGGCGCGAAAGCCAGGGGAGCAAACGGG